Maniola jurtina (meadow brown) is the source of this 563-nucleotide long non-coding RNA. RefSeq lists it as uncharacterized. The transcript is spliced from 3 exons. The record is from RefSeq and is a predicted model, not a curated record. NCBI's taxonomy places the organism in Eukaryota, Metazoa, Arthropoda, Insecta, Lepidoptera, Nymphalidae.
AUGAGUUACUCACAAAUUAGUCGAUACUAUAGCUAAUUUCUUAAACUGAAUGCUUUCAAGUAAAGAUUUUUAUAUAAACCUGUGAGGAUGAUACUGCCAUUGUCGGAAUUAGAAUGCCAUAACCCUACUUUGUCCUAUAAGUUUCCAAAUUGUGAAAAACCAAAUUAAAUUAGAAUUUCGCGGGCAGACCCGUCUCAUGCCCCUUAACCACUGAGAGUUCUCAUGUGCCUCAUUAAUUGAAUUUUACGAACAGCUUUAUACUCGCAUAACUCACAAGAAAAAGGUUUUUCACCAGUGUGCGUUCUCAUGUGAUUAACUAAAUGACUCUUUUGUGAAGAUUUAUAUUUGCAAAACUUGCAAGAAUAUGGUUUUUCACCAGUGUGGGUUCUCAUGUGAGUAACUAAAUCACCAUUUCUUGAAGAUUUAUAUUUGCAAAACUUGCAAGAAAAGGAUUUUUCACCAGUGUGAGAUCUCAUGUGGCUCACUAAAUUACCUUUUCGUGAAAAUUUAUAUUUGCACAACUCACAAGAAAACGGUUUUUCACCAGUGUGAGUUCGCAUGUG